GAUCAUGGCUCAGGAUGAACGCUAGCUACAGGCUUAACACAUGCAAGUCGAGGGGCAGCAUGGUCUUAGCUUGCUAAGGCCGAUGGCGACCGGCGCACGGGUGAGUAACACGUAUCCAACCUGCCGUCUACUCUUGGACAGCCUUCUGAAAGGAAGAUUAAUACAAGAUGGCAUCAUGAGUCCGCAUGUUCACAUGAUUAAAGGNUCGUUCGGACGA
RNAcentral lists this ribosomal RNA (217 nucleotides) under uncultured bacterium. Its description in RNAcentral is "partial 16S ribosomal RNA". It matches the Rfam family "Bacterial small subunit ribosomal RNA", at positions 15 to 222 of the family's 1533-position model. The record is from RNAcentral.